CUAAAACACGCCUAAAAACCCAUCUAAUCCGCCGUUUUAGAAGGACCCCUUCCCCCAUCUGAUUUUUGAUCUCUUUCUUCACAAAGAUACAAAAAAACAGAAUAAAGAUCCCUACACCAAGCUUCAACCAGGAUUUUUCAUAAGUUUGGACUACACAACCCUUUAGCACAAAAAACAGAGAAAGGCGAAUGCUCCUUCUUCUUCUUCAAAGUCACGACAGCCAUUUUUUUUUUGGAAAAAUCAGAAAAAAUCAUCUAAUCUCCAUCGUCACUCUCUCGGGCAAAAAGAGAACUCAUCAACGACCCUUUCCUCCCCAAAAACACCUUCACCCAUUUACAAACAGCUACGAACGCCCCCAACAGUCAUUAACCACCACCUGUUCAUUGUCCAUGUUGCUGAAAUUUUGGAUUUCCGCGAGUCUAUUUUUGCUUCUUCGUCGGGUUUUAGAAGUAGUCGACGUGAUCUUUUCCAUCGUAUUUACGUUUUCGGCGAGGCCGUAGCUGUUGAUUCAUCUUGUUCGUGUAAUUACUGGAAAUUUUCCAUCAAUUAAAGAUUCUCAUUCAGGUGGAUCCAUAGCAGAUAGUGCCGAUCGUGUGUAGCGGAGCAUUCUCCUUCCCAAAGAUCUUGAUGAGCCCCUUUCUCCUUCAAGGGGCUAUAUUGCACAUCUUCUUAUUUUGGACUUUCACUUUUGAGGUAUAGCCGGGGCCUUGUUGCCGGCGUUGUCACAUUUAUUUUUGUAUCCUUAGAGGCUCUGUAGACAUGUAUGUGGGUUAUGCGUGGGCAUUGAAUGGGCGUGCUAUCCAUGUUGUAAAUCUAAACUUAUGUUGCCUAUGAAUUGUAACUCUAUGGGAACCUUGGAAACUAA
This is a long non-coding RNA of Nicotiana attenuata, 865 nucleotides long. RefSeq lists it as uncharacterized. The transcript is spliced from 2 exons. NCBI's taxonomy places the organism in Eukaryota, Viridiplantae, Streptophyta, Magnoliopsida, Solanales, Solanaceae. The record is from RefSeq and is a predicted model, not a curated record.